This 77-nucleotide transfer RNA is filed under the name Gracilimonas sp. RNAcentral describes it as "tRNA-Arg". It matches the Rfam family "tRNA". From Rfam's summary of the family: Transfer RNA (tRNA) molecules are approximately 80 nucleotides in length. Their secondary structure includes four short double-helical elements and three loops (D, anti-codon, and T loops). Lineage: Bacteria; Pseudomonadati; Balneolota; Balneolia; Balneolales; Balneolaceae. The record is from RNAcentral.
GCGCCCGUAGCUCAACUGGAUAGAGCAUCGGAUUUCUACUCCGAGGGUUGGGGAUUCAAGUUCUCCCGGGCGCGCCA